UUCUCUCUACUUUCUCUCUCUAGAUUUUCUAUGAUUUCUCGGUCUAAUAUGAAUGUUUACAUGGUAUCAGAGCCUCGACGACGAUCCGACUAUGUUUCUGUGUACUUCGUUGUCUUGGAUGAAGUCUUCGAAGUUUUGGGGGUGUUUUCUGAGACCUCACGGUCGAUGAAGAUUCCGACCUAUCGGACACCUUUCUGAGACUUUCGUCGUAAUAUUAGAGUGUAUUUUCUUCUCCUGAACGCUCUGGAAGGUUUUAUGAUGAUUUUUGGUUGAUUUUUGGGUGACCUAUCGGCUUCUAGGGUUUCUGGUGGUUUAACCUAAAGUUUUACUGCCAUCCGGUGGCUCGAUUCUCACUCAGUGGACGUUUUGGGUUCCUCUCCGACGUUCCUGACCACAUUUCCAGUAAGGUUUUCCAAGGUUACACUAGGGUUUGAUACCUAGGGUUUCUCUGUUGCUUGAAGGCCGAUCUUCUCCGGUCGCGAAGAAGGAAGGUAACUCUGUCCUUAUCUUCGGUAUUGUAUGUGAUUAUUUGACUGUGUAUAUGUGAGCAUCUAGUGUUGUCUAUGAAUACCUGAUUUGGUUAUACUUGUUAGAAAAUACGCUUAACGCUAGAGGGGGGGUGAAUAGCGUUAUAAUAAAAUUUAGCGUAAACUUGCGGAAUUUAAAAUUUGCAGGAAUCUGGUGUUGUUUGUGAAUACCUGAUUUGGUUAUACUCUGUUUGUUGGUUAUUGUGUGUGAAUACCUGUUUUGGUUAUAUUUGUUGAAAAGUUGUUCCUUUAAGCCGGUUCAUUGACUAUAGCUUCUAACACAAAUACUGGUGCCUCCUCUUCUGUAGACUCGUCCAGUCCCCUUUUUGUAUAUUCUUCUGAUAUUCCUGGGGUAUGUCUCGUUCCCACUCCCUUCUCGGGUAGUGGUUAUGGGGGCUGGAGACGUA
RNAcentral lists this long non-coding RNA (934 nucleotides) under Nicotiana benthamiana. RNAcentral describes it as "long non-coding RNA (NBEN_LNC021307)". The record is from RNAcentral. Lineage: Eukaryota; Viridiplantae; Streptophyta; Magnoliopsida; Solanales; Solanaceae.